CAUGGCUGAUGCUCUAUUCCCCGCUGUGGUGCUGCUUGGACAGAAGACCUAGCAGAGCUUUUGAUGGUGCACAUACAUAUCAAUCCUAGCACUCCUUGACUAAGCCAGAUUUUAGUUCUCUUUCCAAGGCAUUUCCAUCCCAACCCCAGCUCCUUCAACCUGCACUUGACUGAAUCAGCCUUGGAUAUAUGCUAGCUCGGAAUUUAUUUGAAAGCAGAAGUGAGACAUAGCAUGAGGAAAAUGUUAUAAGAUCCCAAGUUUCUUCACCACAAAAUGGACUGUGCUUUAAUGGUGCCUGACAGGCUUCAGCUGAGGUGAUGCAGGCAAAGCCACCUUCCUGUUUCAGCUGACUCUGUUGAAAGUUCCUUGGAGAGUACAAAUUCCACCAGAAGACUAAACUAUAGAGCCUUCUUCUUCAGGAUUUCUCCUGUGUCCUGUGUGUACUGAAGACCACCUGAGGAAUCCAGCCUCACAGACUUAACAAUUGGAUUCUUGGACUUUUCAUCGGGAGACAGUCAUUGGUGGACUACCUAGAUCACAGUCUAUCUUGCUCAUCCAUCAUCGGGGAGGCUUCCUCUUUCAGUCGAUGGGAACACAGACCCAGAGAAGGGAGACGGCUCUAAGAAAACAACGUCUUCCAAACACAACAGAACUGAUGCACAGGCGAACUCAGUGGCUGUGGCAGCACACACAGGGUUUGCACAGGUUCGAACGGGAUAAGUUCCCAGCACUGAGAAGGAAGUGGACAUGGCUUAACCAAGAAGCUAUGUACAAUUGACAUCUUCUUGCAAUGGGAAAAUCAGUUUUCUCCAGUGGAGUCUCAUUGGGUAUACUAACCACACUUCAGGGUGGGCCCUGUGCACAGUUGUUCACCAAACGAAAAGUGAACGCAAUGGUAUUUUUGUAGGGUUUUCUUUUCUUCAUAUUGCUUUGUUUGGGCUUUUUUUUUGUCAUAUUAGUCUUUUGCUUGCUUUUUGGCUGUGUGAGUGUGUGUGUGUGUGUGUGUGUGUGUGUGUGUGUGUGUGUGUGCAUUCCUUGUUCUUUAAGAAAAGGAGAAUAGAUAUGGCUUUGAGUGAGUGGGGGAGUAGGAAACAUAUGAGAGGAGCUAGAGGAGGGAAAAGUGUCACCAGAAUAUAUUGCAUGAAAACUUGUUCCAGUAAAAAACAAAUAAUAAUCACCAAAUAAAGUUAUGCAUUGUGACCCAUUCUUGGAGUGUUGGA
Molecule: non-coding RNA, 1220 nt
Organism: Myodes glareolus (Bank vole)
Lineage: Eukaryota; Metazoa; Chordata; Mammalia; Rodentia; Cricetidae
Source: RefSeq, a predicted model, not a curated record